Molecule: long non-coding RNA, 3449 nt
Filed under: Homo sapiens (human)
Lineage: Eukaryota; Metazoa; Chordata; Mammalia; Primates; Hominidae
Description: HSALNT0074348
Source: RNAcentral
UUUGUAUUUUUAGUAGAGACAGAUUUAACCGUGUUAGCCAGGACGGUCUCGAUCUCCUGGCCUCGUGAUCCGCCCGCCUCGGCCUCCCAAAGUGCUGAGAUUACAGGCUUGAGCCACUGCGCCCGGCCUAAUUUUUGUAUUUUUAGUAGAGACGAAGCUUCACCAUGUUGGCCAGGCUGGUCUCAAACUCCUGACGUCAAGUGAUCUGCCCGCCUCAGCCUCUCAAACUGCUGAAAUUACAGGCGUGAGCCACUGCGCCCGGCCUCAUUUAAUCUUCAUUACCUCCAUAAAGACCCUGUCUCCAAAUACAACCACAUUGGAGGCUCUGCAGGGGGGUUGGAAAGCCACACUUGGAAACGCUCAUGCAGGAAAUAUUUCCAAAAUCACACAAGAACUGGAUUCAUAAAGACACCUGUUUCUGCUGCUGCUGCUGCUCUUGCUACACACAGAUGCUGCUCCUUUCACCAUUAUCAGUGCUAGAUACUGGAUGUUGUUGCUAGAACCACUGCUCCUUCUGAAAAGUCAUUGCCACCAUGGCUGCCCCCUGUCCCAGCAUUGAUUCCACAAAAUUCCUACUUCUUUUGAUUCACCCUUCAGGCUCAAAGUCCAAUGCAAGAGAAUUCUGAUCGAUAGAGCUGAGUUAACAUGUCUAUGCUCUGGGUAUAUGGGAGCCUGGGAAAGUGAUUUUUAAAUUUCUAUAUUGGGUGGUACUCUUGGUACAUCACGACUCAUAGGAUGGGAAUUCUUCAAACAUGGGAAAUAACUCUCUAUAUUCCAUAAAACCUGUACAAUGUCAUAAUAAAAAUGAUGUACUUAAUUUUUAAAAAGUUUUAAUUGACACACAAUAAUUGUACAUAUUUAUUGGAUACAAUAUGAUGUAUUAAUACCUGUAUACAUUGUGUAGUGAUCAAUUCAAGGUAAUUAACAUAUCCAUCAUCUCAAACAUUUAUCAUUUCUUUAUGGUGGGAACAUAAAAAUCCUUUCUUCUAGCUAUUUUGAGAUAUACCUUAUUUUUGACUAUAGUCACCCUACUGUAAAAUAGGAUACCAGCAUUUAUUCUUCCUAAUUGUAACUCUGUACCCGUUGACCAUCCUCUUCCCAUCCCCUCCUUCUCCCUACCCUCCCCAGUCUCUGGUAACUGCUGUUCCAUUAACUACUUCUGUGAAAUCAACUUUUUUAGAUUCUACAUGUAAAUGAGAACAUGUGAUAUUCAUCUUUCUGUGUCUGGUGUAUUUCCCUUAACAUAAUGUCUUCUAGGUUCAUCGAUGUUGUCACAGAUUUUGCUUUUAUCUUUUUUUUUUUUUUUUUUUUUUGAGAUUGAGUUUCACUCGUCAUCCAGGCUGGAGUGCACUGGCACGAUCUUGGCUCACUGCAACCUCCGCCUCCUGGUUUCAAGUGAUUCUCCUGCCUCAGCCUCCCGAGUUGCUGAGACUACAGGCGCACACCACCACACCUGGCUAUUUUGGGUUUUCGCCAUGUUGGCCAGGCUGGUCUCAAACUCCUGACCUCAGGUGAUCCACUCCCCUUGGCUUCCCAAGGUGCUGGGAUUACAGGUGUGAACCACCUCGCCUAGCCCUACCAUAUUUUUUUUAUCCAUUCUUCUGAUGAUGGACACUUAGGUUGAUUCUAUAUCUUGACUAUUGGGAAUAAUGUUGCAAUAAACAUGAGAGUGCAGAUAUUUGUUUGACAUAUUGAUUUCAUUUCCUUUGGAUAUAUACUCAAUAAUGGGAUUGCUGGAUCAUAUGGUAGCCCUGUUUUUAAUUUUUUGAGGAGCCUCUAUAUUGUUUUCCAUAAUGGCUGUACUAAUUUAUAUUAUCACAGUGUGAAAGGGUUCUCUUUUCUCCACAUUCGUUGCCCACACUUAUCCUUUUUUCUUUUUUCUUCUUUUUUGAGACAAAGUCUGGCUCUAUUGCCCAGGCUGGAUCCUUUGUCUUUUUGAUCAUUAAUUUGCACUUUAUAUUCUUGCUUACUAUAAUAAAUGUUGCUUACCAUAAGUCUCUUUUAAUCUUAGAUCCACCUACAUUUCCCACUUCUUUUCAUGUCAUUUACUUGUUGAAGAAAUGGGAUAUUCUUAUGAAUUUUCCACAUUUUAGAUUUGGAUGGUUGCAUCUUCAUGGUAGUUUAACAUGUGCCUUUAUUUCUUUUCCUGAUUACUGGUAGUUGGUUCUAGAUGUGGCUGCUUUUGUUUGUUGUUGAUUUUUUUGGUUUUACCAUAGUGCAUCUUCGUGGAGAUUUUUAUUUAUUUUUCCUAAUUGCAAUUGCAAUUUGUAGGGUAUAUUAUAUUUGUAGAUUCAUUUGUCACUUCUGGAAAAUUUUAAGCCAUUACCUCUUGAAAUGUUGCCUCUUACUCUCACUUCUAAAACUCUAUUUUUUUUUUUUUUUUUUUUUUUGAGACAGAGUCUUGCUGUGUCGCCUAGGGGCUGGAGUGCAGUGGCACGAUCUUGGCUCACUGCAACCUCUGCCUCCCAGGUUCAUGCGAUUCUCCUGCCUCAGCCUCCCGAGUAGCAGGGAUUACAGGCAUGCACCAUCACACCUAAUUUUUGCAUUUUUAGUAGAGACAGGGUUUCACCAUAUUGGCCAGGCUGGUCUCGAACUCCUGGCCUCAAAUGGUCUGCCCGCCUUGGCCUUCCAAAGUGCUGGGAUUACAGGUGUGAGCCACCAUGCCCAGCCAGCGUUUUUGAUAUUUUAAAAGCCUGUUAGACGUUACAUAUCAUUAAAAAAUGUACACAAGUUAACAGAAAUAUUCUUGAUUUGGCUGCCAUUAAAUUAACUUGGUAUGAUGCGAAUUAUCACAUUGUAGUUCUGACAGCUAUAUAUCUUUGAUUAAUAGAAAUGUUAUUACAUAAUGAGAGCAAUAUAUUUGACAAAUAAAGCCAUUCAAAACACAUUGUCUAUGGAGAGAAGAAAUUUAAAGGGUUUCCUGGUGAUGAAAUAUUGAAAUUAUUCUAUAAUACCACUUAACCCCCACUGCUCCCACCCUCCUGUCAUUCCUCUGCUUGCAGGGUCUAUGAAAAACAUAUAUGCCCCAGAUGUUUCAUGGUUCAAGGGCAAUCUAAAUAGUGAGUCAAUUUCAUAGGCCAUGUCUUUCAUGGGAAGAGUAGUUGCUCCAGAUUAUCCAGGCUCAAAUUCCAUUAGAGGAACAAGAAUGGAUCAAUUGUAAUAUAAUCCUACUUUGCUACAAUAGAGCUCAACACUCAGAAACCAAGUGUAUUAAAGAUUACUGACCAGUCUUAAUGCUUAAAGUCAAGUAUGCCUGAUAGGAGUUUUAUAGUUUAAUAGACUGCAGAAUGUAAUCAGCAUUGGUGCAUUCAAUUAGCUGACUUCCUCAUUUUAAAAUCAGGGGAUUAAAGCUAAAGCUGGGCAUGGUGACACAUGCUGGUAAUCCCAGCACUUUGGGAGGCCUAAACGGUAGGAUCACUGGAGCCCAGGAGUUCGAGACCAGCCUGGGC